UGUGGUGCCAUGGAAGUGAAAGCACUUUGUGCUAAGUGAGUCUUAAAAAACUAAAUGCCAGAGCAGCCAACUCUUAUUUUUCCAUCCUGCUAAUUUUCAUCCUAGUAAAAAAAUUGGACUGAAUAUAGCCUUGGUUUAUUUUUUUAAAAGCAGAUGGUAAGAUGCUAAACACUAUUUGUGGAAACAGCAAGUCAAAACAUCUUCCCGUGGCUGCAAUGAGCAGAAGAGCUGCCAUAGGAAGUUUUGGCCGUAGUCUCAUCACCCCUCUCUGACCAGGGUGGAGCAUCAUCUGUGGCUUGAAACUGCUGUCUCAGUUCUCCCUUCUUCUUAAAUCCCGUAAUCCUCUUUUAGAAUACAACACAUGUGAUUUCUUUCUCUUCCACCCCCACCUCUUCUUACCAGGUAUUUUCCCACUGUAUCUCUGGCUGAACACCUCCCCAGACUCUUCCUGGACCUUCAAUCUUUCUCCAGCAAUUGCAUGGUGGCAAGGAAACGUGGCUUGGGAUCAGGAUCGUGUGGUUGGUGAAACUCUAACAUGUGUGAUACCUGCCUGUCCUCAGCCUGGGGUCAGACAUCUACAUCCCGUUCU
Molecule: long non-coding RNA, 589 nt
Organism: Empidonax traillii (willow flycatcher)
Lineage: Eukaryota; Metazoa; Chordata; Aves; Passeriformes; Tyrannidae
Exons: 2
Source: RefSeq, a predicted model, not a curated record